Molecule: ribosomal RNA, 525 nt
Filed under: uncultured bacterium
Lineage: Bacteria
Description: bacterial SSU rRNA
Rfam family: Bacterial small subunit ribosomal RNA
Source: RNAcentral
ACAUCCAGAGAACUUAGCAGAGAUGCUUUGGUGCCUUCGGGAACUCUGAGACAGGUGCUGCAUGGCUGUCGUCAGCUCGUGUUGUGAAAUGUUGGGUUAAGUCCCGNAACGAGCGCAACCCUUAUCCUUUGUUGCCAGCGGUUCGGCCGGGAACUCAAAGGAGACUGCCGGUGAUAAACCGGAGGAAGGUGGGGAUGACGUCAAGUCAUCAUGGCCCUUACGGCCAGGGCUACACGCGUGCUACAAUGGCGCAUACAAAGAGAAGCGACCUCGCGAGAGCAAGCGGACCUCAUAAAGUGCGUCGUAGUCCGGAUUGGAGUCUGCAACUCGACUCCAUGAAGUCGGAAUCGCUAGUAAUCGUAGAUCAGAAUGCUACGGUGAAUACGUUCCCGGGCCUUGUACACACCGCCCGUCACACCAUGGGAGUGGGUUGCAAAAGAAGUAGGUAGCUUAACCUUCGGGAGGGCGCUUACCACUUUGUGAUUCAUGACUGGGGUGAAGUCGUAACAAGGUAGGCGUAGCGAG